RNAcentral lists this ribosomal RNA (253 nucleotides) under uncultured bacterium. RNAcentral's name for it is "partial 16S ribosomal RNA". It matches the Rfam family "Bacterial small subunit ribosomal RNA", at positions 524 to 776 of the family's 1533-position model. The record is from RNAcentral.
UACGUAGGGGGCAAGCGUUGUCCGGAAUUAUUGGGCGUAAAGGGCUCGUAGGUGGUCCGUCACGUCGGGAGUGAAAUCCUGGGGCUUAACCCCAGAACUGCUUCCGAUACGGGCAGACUAGAGGUAGGUAGGGGAGAAUGGAAUUCCUGGUGUAGCGGUGGAAUGCGCAGAUAUCAGGAGGAACACCAGUGGCGAAGGCGGUUCUCUGGGCCUUACCUGACGCUGAGGAGCGAAAGCGUGGGGAGCAAACAGG